This 322-nucleotide ribosomal RNA is filed under the name uncultured eukaryote. Its description in RNAcentral is "partial 18S ribosomal RNA". It matches the Rfam family "Eukaryotic small subunit ribosomal RNA", at positions 1470 to 1796 of the family's 1831-position model. The record is from RNAcentral.
CCCUUAGAUGUUCUGGGCCGCACGCGUGCCACACUGAGUGGAUCAGCGGGUCAGGUUGCGCGAAAGCGUUUCCUAAUCUUGAAAUCCGCUCGUGAUGGGGAUUGACGGUUGCAAUUUUCUGUCAUGAACGAGGAAUACCUUGUAAGCGCGAGUCAUCAUCCCGCGCUGAAUACGUCCCUGCCCUUUGUACACACCGCCCGUCGCUCCUACCGAUUGAGUGGUCCGGUGAGGCUUUGGGAUCUGAGCGGAAAGAGCGUUUCGCUCGUUCUGCCCGGAAAACUCAGUCGAACCUUAUCAUUUAGAGGAAGGAGAAGUCGUAACA